This 73-nucleotide transfer RNA is filed under the name Bagarius yarrelli (goonch). RNAcentral describes it as "tRNA-Lys". The record is from RNAcentral. Lineage: Eukaryota; Metazoa; Chordata; Actinopteri; Siluriformes; Sisoridae.
CACUAGAAAGCUAAAUAGGGCCUAGCGUUAGCCUUUUAGCUAAAGAUUGGUGACCCCCAACCACCUCUAGUGA